GCCAAAGUCAAAGCCUCCAUAUUAGCAGAUUCACACAUUCCCUUUCCACAGUCCAUCAGGUUAUUGAACUGCUGUUAUUAACACACAACCGCAAACUCAUGAUGUUAAAGUCUUCGCUUAGUAAGGUUCUGGUUUAAGAGGCAGUCUUUGCUUUCAUCGGAAAUAGUACUACUAUUGCUUGGCAGCAGGCUACAUCUAUCAAUUAAUGAAAGGAACGUCUGACUCUCAGUCUGCGUGUGUUUGUGUACCUGUUAUUCGCAUAUCUCCCGAAUACAAUUUACAUUAGUAUUGUGAUUGUUGUUUUAACAUUCACAUUAGUGUUAAAAUUACUUUAAAAAGUAGUGGGGGAAAAAGUGGGACCAUGAACUUGCAGGAUCUGGCUGUGCAUUGUAUGCGUGCACAUAUGUGUUGUUAUGUAUUAUGUGUUGUGACUUUUAUGUUUGUAUUUUAAUCUUUUUAAACAGCUCUUAAAAAAGAUGAGCCCAAAGCAACUGCCGGUUCCAGUAGUGUCUCUACACUGGACUCAUCUUCCUCCGAGAUGAGUUCAAAGAGUACGGACUCAGAGUCAUCCAACAGCUCAUCCUCAGGGGACAAGAAGAGGAAGAAGAAGGGGAAAGGGAGAAAGAAGCUAUCCAAGAGGGUUAAAAUGGAAAAAACACUGCAAAGAGCCCGGAAUCCCGAGCAGGCUUUGGCCCGGUACAAAAAGAUUCUUAAAUGCUACAAGAGGCUUGGAACCAUGUCUGGGGCAUUUCGAAAGGUCGGUGUUGACCGUAAUACAGUGGUGGUCAAUGCACCAAUCGCCGAGCUUUCCAUUGCUGCCCCAGACCAGUACAAGGAAGCUUUGAAAACGUAUACCCAUUCCACAAAAUUGAAAGCAUUUGCGGAACACUGUGCCUUGACAAUUCUAGGCGAUGUAGAAAUAGUUGACGCAGUCAACACGCUUAAAGCCAGUGGUAAGCUGCUACCACUGAAAAAGAAAUAAUUAUGUGCAUUUUGUAUUAUGCUUUACAAGUGUUCCUGUAAAGUAAUUUUUACAUUUUCUGUACAAUACCACUGUUCAUAUUUUAUCUGUAUUUUUUUGUUGUGUGUUCUUUGUUGAAAAGAAGAAUUUAUGUAGUUUAAAAUAAAUAUUUGUACGUUUUCAGCACUUCA
Molecule: long non-coding RNA, 1152 nt
Organism: Gadus macrocephalus (Pacific cod)
Lineage: Eukaryota; Metazoa; Chordata; Actinopteri; Gadiformes; Gadidae
Exons: 2
Source: RefSeq, a predicted model, not a curated record